Small nuclear RNA from Callithrix jacchus (white-tufted-ear marmoset), 104 nucleotides. Lineage: Eukaryota; Metazoa; Chordata; Mammalia; Primates; Cebidae. The record is from Ensembl.
GUGCUUGCUUUGGCAGCACAUAUGCUGAAAUUGGAAUGACACAGAGAUUGGCAUGGUUCCUGUGCAAGCAUGACCUGAAAAUUAAUGAAGUGUUCCAUGUUAAA